This 148-nucleotide non-coding RNA is filed under the name Gorilla gorilla gorilla (western lowland gorilla). Lineage: Eukaryota; Metazoa; Chordata; Mammalia; Primates; Hominidae. The record is from Rfam by way of RNAcentral.
GCCAGGUAUGGUGGUGCGUGCCUGUAGUUCUAGCUACUUGAGAGGCUGAGGCAGGAGGAUUGCUUGAGCCCAGGAGUUCAAGGCUACAGUGAGCUAUGAUUGUGCCACAGCACUCCAGCCUGGGCAACAGAGUGAGACCCUGUUUCUA